ACGCUGGCGGCAGGGCUUAACACAUGGCAAGUUGAACGGGAUUUGAUGGUAGCUUGCUAUCAUUGAAGAGAGUAGCGCACUGGUNAGUAACACGUGGGAACAUACCUUUUGGUGGGGGACAACAGUUGGAAACGACUGCUAAUACCGCAUAAGCCCUGAGGGGGAAAGAUUUUAUUGCCGAAAGAUUUGGCCCGCGGAAGAUUAGGUAGUUGGUGGGGUAAAGGCUCACCAAGCCAACGAUCUAUAGCUGGUCUGAGAGGACGAUCAGCCACAUUGGAACUGAGACACGGUCCAGACUCCUACGGGAGGCAGCAGUGAGGAAUAUUGGGCAAUGGAGGAAACUCUGACCCAGCCAUGCCGCGUGAGUGAAGAAGGUUUUCGGAUUGUAAAGCUCUUUCGGAUGUGAAGAUGAUGACGGUAGCAUCAGAAGAAGCCCCGGCAAACUUCGUG
RNAcentral lists this ribosomal RNA (450 nucleotides) under uncultured bacterium. Its description in RNAcentral is "bacterial SSU rRNA". It matches the Rfam family "Bacterial small subunit ribosomal RNA", at positions 33 to 507 of the family's 1533-position model. The record is from RNAcentral.